This 386-nucleotide ribosomal RNA is filed under the name Klebsiella pneumoniae. RNAcentral describes it as "partial 23S ribosomal RNA". It matches the Rfam family "Bacterial large subunit ribosomal RNA", at positions 1116 to 1506 of the family's 2925-position model. The record is from RNAcentral. Lineage: Bacteria; Pseudomonadati; Pseudomonadota; Gammaproteobacteria; Enterobacterales; Enterobacteriaceae.
CCAUCAUUUAAAGAAAGCGUAAUAGCUCACUGGUCGAGUCGGCCUGCGCGGAAGAUGUAACGGGGCUAAACCAUGCACCGAAGCUGCGGCAGCGACACUAUGUGUUGUUGGGUAGGGGAGCGUUCUGUAAGCCUGCGAAGGUGUGCUGUGAGGCAUGCUGGAGGUAUCAGAAGUGCGAAUGCUGACAUAAGUAACGAUAAAGCGGGUGAAAAGCCCGCUCGCCGGAAGACCAAGGGUUCCUGUCCAACGUUAAUCGGGGCAGGGUGAGUCGACCCCUAAGGCGAGGCCGAAAGGCGUAGUCGAUGGGAAACAGGUUAAUAUUCCUGUACUUGGUGUUACUGCGAAGGGGGGACGGAGAAGGCUAUGUUAGCCGGGCGACGGUUGUC